Callithrix jacchus (white-tufted-ear marmoset) is the source of this 990-nucleotide long non-coding RNA. RefSeq lists it as uncharacterized. Lineage: Eukaryota; Metazoa; Chordata; Mammalia; Primates; Cebidae. The record is from RefSeq and is a predicted model, not a curated record.
CAUGCCUUGGGAGCCCUUCUUCCUAUGCUGGAGAAAGUAUGUGGAGAGACUACAUAAAGAUGCCUGAGAAGCCCUGGCUAUUCCAGCCCUUAGCUAUCCAAGACUUCUUAGCCUGGGAACUGGAUAUAUGAGUCAAGAAGCCUUUUCAAUGGCACUAGACACCAUCUGAUUGUAGCUUCAUGACAGACCCUGAGCCAGAACCACUCAGCCAAGCUGUUCCUGCAUUCCUGACCCGUUGAAAUCAUGAGAGAUAAUCAACAAUCAUUAUUCCCUAAGCCAUUCUGGAGGCUUAGAAGUCCAAGAUCAAGUUGCUGGCUGAUUUGAUUCCUGGAGGCAGAGGUUGCACAUGAGCCAAGAUUGCAUCAUUGCACUCCAGCCUGGGCAACAAGAGCAAAACCCCAUCUCAAAAAAAAAAAAAGAAGAAAGAAAAUAAGCCUUUGGACUUUUAAACCACUAUAAGAGAGCAGGCUGAGAAAACUACUUAGUUGCAAACACUGGCUGUUUUUUAUGAAAAAAGAAAAGAUGACUCAGCUUCUGCUUCUGAGCCCAGAAAUUGGAGCCAAGAGCCAUAGAGAACCAUUCUCAGACAGUAGGACUGAGUUCUAACCAAGAAACUACCUGCAUUCCCAGCAGAAUUUCAGAAUUGCUGAAGCCCCCUGUGUACCUCCCAUUUAUCUUUUUUCUUCCUUUUUCCAGGAUGAUCUAUAAUGCUUAUCCUAUGUCUGCCCUAUUAUUGUAUAUUAGUUAGAGGGAAAAGAAUAUAUUUCUUUUUCAUGGGUCUAUAGAUCAAGAGGAACUAUAAGGAGGUGCUAUAUUUGAGAUAUUUACCCAAGGAGUCUCAUCUGAACCUGGACCCAAUUAGAUGACAAGACCUGGGAGUUCAAACUGAUGCUAUAAUAUGAUGAGACUUUUGUGGACCUUGGGAAGGGACAAGUGUAUGUCCAAUAGGAAAGCUAUGAAUCAUCAAGCCUCCUUAAAUAAAGGAGUCAA